UAUUACUUUUAUAGUUUAAUUAAAAAUAUUAGGUUGUGAUUCUAAAGAUGUUUGACUAAG
Molecule: transfer RNA, 60 nt
Filed under: Neomysis orientalis
Lineage: Eukaryota; Metazoa; Arthropoda; Malacostraca; Mysida; Mysidae
Description: tRNA-His
Source: RNAcentral